GAUGAACGCUGGCGGCGUGCCUAAUACAUGCAAGUCGAGCGAACGGACGAGAAGCUUGCUUCUCUGAUGUUAGCGGCGGACGGGUGAGUAACACGUGGAUAACCUACCUAUAAGACUGGGAUAACUUCGGGAAACCGGAGCUAAUACCGGAUAAUAUUUUGAACCGCAUGGUUCAAAAGUGAAAGACGGUCUUGCUGUCACUUAUAGAUUGAUCCGCGCUGCAUUAGUUAGUUGGUAAGGUAACGGCUUACCAAGGCAACGAUGCAUAGCCGACCCGAGAGGGUGAUCGGCCACACUGGAACUGAGAAACGGUCCAGACUCCUACGGGAGGCAGCAGUAGGGAAUCUUCCGCGAUGGGCGAAAGCCUGACGGAGCAACGCCGCGUGAGUGAUGAAGGUCUUAGGAUCGUAAAACUCUGUUAUUAGGGAAGAACAUAUGUGUAAGUAACUGUGAACAUCUUGACGGUACCUAAUCAGAAAGCCACGGCUAACUCCGUG
This 497-nucleotide ribosomal RNA is filed under the name uncultured bacterium. RNAcentral's name for it is "partial 16S ribosomal RNA". It matches the Rfam family "Bacterial small subunit ribosomal RNA", at positions 28 to 507 of the family's 1533-position model. The record is from RNAcentral.